RNAcentral lists this ribosomal RNA (253 nucleotides) under uncultured bacterium. Its description in RNAcentral is "partial 16S ribosomal RNA". It matches the Rfam family "Bacterial small subunit ribosomal RNA", at positions 524 to 776 of the family's 1533-position model. The record is from RNAcentral.
UACGAAGGGGGCUAGCGUUGUUCGGAAUUACUGGGCGUAAAGCGCACGUAGGCGGACUCUUAAGUCAGGGGUGAAAUCCCGGGGCUCAACCUCGGAAUUGCCUUUGAUACUGUGAGUCUUGAGACCGGAAGAGGUGAGUGGAAUUCCUAGUGUAGAGGUGAAAUUCGUAGAUAUUAGGAAGAACACCGGUGGCGAAGGCGGCUCACUGGUCCGGUUCUGACGCUGAGGUGCGAAAGCGUGGGGAGCAAACCGG